GUGCAUGUUCUGCACAAAUUAUCCGACUUUUUGGUAUCUGAACAGAGUAAUACAGUGAGUGUGACUUCUCUUAUUGGAGGAACUUCUGAUAAUACGGGAUCUGGAGUUGCACGUCGAUUGGGUAAAUUGUUGUUAAAUUAUUAAAAAAUCUAAGUUUUUCUUUGUUGAGGUGCCUCUGCUGACUCGUUCGUAUGCUUCUCAGUUCUGAAGACUGGCCUUAAUAUCAUUCUUGCUUGUGACCUUCCAAAGAACAGCCCAAUGCUUGAGGUUCUCUCUUUCUCACUCUCUCUCUUGUAUUUCCAUACAUCCUCAAAUUUUUUAGUAACAAAUUGCAAUUUAAAUACUGCACUUGUAUCUCAAAAUGACUGAAAUUGUGAAUUUCUUCUACCCUUCUUGUUAAGAAAUCAGCUUCGUUAUUAUUUUGACUGUUUACCCAAUUUUCACAUUUCUUUCUGUGUUGGGAUGUUCAGGCAGAUGCUGAGAAAAGGCUGGUGCAAAAGCUAAUUAGUCUAGGUUACACAAAGCCACAAGUGUAAAGGACAAUUUCCAUGGAGGAGCUUCGUCGUAGCAAUAUAUCUUACACUGCCGUGAAAUGGUUCUUUGGUUUCGUUUUUCUGGUUGAGUUCUCCAUAAUUUAUCAAAGAAAGAGAUGUGUAGUUGCAGGUGCCUCUAUCUAUACCCUUGGGGUAUAGCUUUAUCUUGGUUCUGCAAUUUGUAACAAAGAAAGGACAUUUUAGUUCUGAGACGUAGUAACAUUCCAAAAGAGAUGAUAAUGUUACUGGCUUUGUUUGGCAGCAAUGUACGAAUGGACUUCUUGAACUUGGGUUAGUUCUUGAUUUUCAAGGUGUGUUUAUAACUAAUGACAUCCUUUAUCUUUGAUUCAAAUGCCUUCGAAAUAUCUUUAUUUUUGUUUCGAUGUGGGUAAAGAGCUGACUUCCUGUGAGUGAAUCUUGAAAUGAUUCACAAGGCUUCAUUCUACCAGUCAAGUGAACUCGUUAUUCUUUUUUCUUCCUUUCUAUCGAAACUAGUAUGUAAAUUUNNNNNNNNNNNNNNNNNNNNNNNNNNNNNNNUAAUGUUACUGGCUUUGUUUGGCAGCAAUGUACGAAUGGACUUCUUGAACUUGGGUUAGUUCUUGAUUUUCAAGGUGUGUUUAUAACUAAUGACAUCCUUUAUCUUUGAUUCAAAUGCCUUCGAAAUA
This 1198-nucleotide long non-coding RNA is filed under the name Olea europaea subsp. europaea. Lineage: Eukaryota; Viridiplantae; Streptophyta; Magnoliopsida; Lamiales; Oleaceae. The record is from RNAcentral.